UACAGAGGGUGCAAGCGUUAAUCGGAAUUACUGGGCGUAAAGCGUGCGUAGACGGUCAUGUAAGUCGGGUGUGAAAGCCCCGGGCUCAACCUGGGAAUUGCAUUCGAGACUGCAUGGCUAGGAUGCGGAAGAGGGAAGCGGAAUUUCCGGUGUAGCGGUGAAAUGCGUAGAUAUCGGAAGGAACACCAGUGGCGAAAGCGGCUUCCUGGUCCAGCAUCGACGUUCAGGCACGAAAGCGUGGGUAGCGAACAGG
Molecule: ribosomal RNA, 253 nt
Filed under: uncultured bacterium
Lineage: Bacteria
Description: partial 16S ribosomal RNA
Rfam family: Bacterial small subunit ribosomal RNA
Source: RNAcentral